UGGGUUUUGAUCUAUAAAUGAGACACUAAGGAAAAGACCCUUCUCCAAGCUUUUGGAAUGGUUCUUUGAAAGAUGGUUGGAAAACUCGUAGAAGAGCUGGCUUUACAGAAAUUUUAAACUACCUGUAACAUAGUGCCUCUUUAGGAUAUUUAAAAUAUGGUAUGAAUUUCACUAGUUGAGCCUGAAAACUUUGAUGCACCUGUCUGUUGAUAUGGUUUGAAGCUGGCUACCUGCCAAGUCUCCAAACCUUACCACAAGAAUUCCCUCCCCCCCCCCCCAAACCUCAGGGAGAAGAGGGAGAAAAACAACCAAGAAAACCCGAAACGAGAGACAGCUAAAGCAAUAUAUAUAAAAAUAUUUACACUUAUGUUACAGUUAUAUAGAAUUGAAAUAUAUAUACAGUUUCACAAGGGAAAGGGAAGGGGGAAGGGAAAAGGAACAAAACCAAAAUAAAAUAUAUAUAUAUCCCGAUUAGUAGCCUGAUAUCUAGCAACUAAAAAAGUUAGCAAAGAAAUAUCUCACUACUCUCCUUGGGACAACCGAGAGUCACUCUGGAACGAUCACCGGCAGCCUCCAUCUCCCAAGGUUGACAAGGCCUUACCAGGCCUCGCUCCCCAACACGACAGACUCAACAGCAGGGAACCUGCACCUCCAAGCCGCCGGAAAGAAAGAGAGCGAAGGCCUCUCCUCCUUUCUUCUUAUAGCCUGGCUUACGUAAAAAUCGUAGGGAAUACUGGGUAAAUCUGGUUACCAACUGGUCACCAAGGAAGGCCUAGACCAAACUACCACACCUGUGACCAAAUAUUUUUAGUAAAAACAUUACAUCUCCCACUAAAGUUAGCAUCCUCAACUGUUAAAAGUCCCUUAACUGCUGUGCUUAGCCAAAAUACCAGCCACUAUAUCACUAAUAAAGUUAGUUGCAUGAAUUUUCAUUAAUGCUCUUUUGAUAACACAAAGAAUGAGGUUAACCCUCUUAUUCUGAGACACUGUAAGAGGACAGCCCAAGGGAUAUGUAGCACUAAGCAGCUGAUAAAGGAAGCAGGUGCAUUUGUAUGCAUUAUACUGUUUGCUCAUGUGGCUGCACAGCGUCUGAGUUAGUGGAGCACUGCUUUAAGUGAGUUUCCUUUGCAGACAGAGUUAUAAGAAAAACUCCAUCUUUAAAUGUAGUCUUAAAUUUGGGAGAACAAAAUGUGUUCCAGGGAAAGCAACUAACCUGUAUUUAAGUUGUUUGUUAUAUUUAAAAUUGUUCAGACACCUUCUUUCCUUGCCCAAGUGAUAAAUCUCAGUAUCUGAGUCUUAAGGUCAAAAUCUUGUACACAAGGCAACCUAAUUUAUCUGAAAAUAUUAAGACCAGACCUUUGCACUAAUCUGCCUGCUUUGCACCACUUUAGCAACACCCAAAAGAAGAAAGGGAGAUGAUUUAACCAGCUGCUGAAGUAUGAAUCCAGGAAUUCAUGGACUGUGUUGCCAAACUCACGCUACAGUACAAUGCCUCAAACCGUCUUGAGAGUUCUUUAAAUAUUUGCUAUAGCUGGGUCAUCCAGAAGAAAGCCAGUGGGCAUCAACAUGUUCAGAUGCAUAAGAAAAAGAAUGGAGAAUCUCCACUCAGAAGAGAUAUUAAUAAUUUGCACUCGUUGCUGAGAGAGAAUAUUUCCCAGGGCUGGGAGCACCACAGCAGUCCAAUAAAAAUUAUUACAGAAAAGGAAUAAUCCUUGUAGAGUGAAUGUGAGAAAUGUAAUAUUUUUACCUGAAGAAGAAGGCUAGGAUAAUAAAAACAUUUUACUAAUAUUUUACAUUGUGAGAAAUUACAAAUAAUAUCUGUAAGUCCACAAAUACCUUCUUCCUCUCACCUACAAUGAGAGGUAGGAAACUUUUGGUGAAGUGAAAAAUUCAUCAUGCAGCGAAUGAUAUUAACUUCCUAAAAUUACAUUCAAGACCCUAAGUUGUAAUAUACCACAAUCCAAGGACUCUCAGGAGAGACAUAGACACUAUGCAAAUAAAUUUGGAGGAAAAAAGGGGGGAUAGUACUUAAAAAUUGUCAAAUCUCAUGUUUCACUGUGGAGAUAGCUCUUAGCUCCUGGAGACUGAGGUUCCAUCUGUAUUAACACACCAGCUGUUCUCUGACCCCUUCCUUGUGCUAGAGACAGUUCACACAGAGUAGCUGGUGUCCAUACUCUCUCUGCUCCCAGAAGAUGGGGACUGCAUCAGACCAGAAUGGUCUCUGACCCUAGUAACUCCUAUGCUGUGCCUGGGAAUUAUCCAGGAAUUGGCUCUUGCCAGAGAUCUACCAGGAGCUGCUUUAGUGAUUUAGCAGCUUUGGUGCCAGAGAUUGUUCCCUUGCUCUAACUGAUGAGAAUUGAUCUAACAUAAGGCACCAUACCAUAGGGACAAAUUACCCCUCACUAGCCUAUUCUGGGGGUUUUGUGCUGUCCUGGGCAGUCUCUUGGAAACUGAAAGGAUGGAGAAAGCCACGGUGUUCCUAAGUUCCCACACGAACUCUUCUUGUUCCUAGCUCUCUUCAGAGAAGAGGCUGGUGCUGAAAGUCACUGCCACAGCAAAGCAAGUUACUUCUGCUCUCUGAAGAAGGACCAAGAUCUGCUUAUAUGCCUUAGUCCUACAGCCUUAACAGGCUGGAAGAUUAGUCUGCUUUGACAGCUGAUUAUUUAUCUUUCUGUCAUUAGAUGUGUUAUUUCAAGACAGUGAAAAGAUGGCAUCAGAUAAAGCGAAAUUAUCUCUUCACCUUUUGUCAUCCAACCAAAUUCCAUCACUACUAAAGCCCACUGACAGUUCUGACAAGGCAGGUGAGGAAAACUCAGGUAGCAGUUGGUUGAUAAGGACAGGACAGACAAGGAACAUAGGACAAGACUACUCUUCUGCAGCAGCGACUGUUGUCCCCAGGAGAAUAUAGGAACAUCUGGGACCUCAGGUGAAGCUGGCUUGAAGCAGCAAGCUGCUUGGGUGCCCCUGUGUGACUGAUCAGCACUACAGCAGUGCUCAAGACAAAUUCUUGUCCGUCUUCCACAGUUGGAAAAGACAACUUAGGCUGCUGAGUGCUGUAGCCCAAUUCCCCUUCUGCUAGUGUCUGUCCAUAUCAACCCAGAGCUUACAGCACUCACCAUGAACUUAAAGCAGCAUUUUCCCAUUGCUUCCAGUUCUUGGACAUUUACUUCAUAUCAGCUGUGUGACUGUCAGAUGAGCAAAAGGAGUCACCCAGCCCUCUCCUUCUCUGCCAUGAGAGGCUAUGGUGUAGGGAACAGUUUCCACAUAGAAAAACUCUGUCUCUAUGGUGCAGUUCAUAUAGUGGUGGUUUUAUACAACAUGGGCAGAAAGUGAAGUAUACUUGGAUGUCAGAAUAGACAGCAUACAUCCCAGGCAAUCUCUUAAAAUGUUGUUAGUGACAAUAUGUGAUAGCAAUAGGGGAGUGUGAAGCAAAAAGCCAUAAGGAAAUCUCACAUAAAUUGCCUUAAGGCACCUUGUUUGAACAGACCACAGAAAACACGUUUUCUGUGCUUCCUCCUGGUGGCUUAUCACUGUAUCAGCAAUAGCUCGGUCUAUAACUACAUAAGGCACAGUUGGUCCAGGAAAGAAACUCCUCCCUUGUACUUGCAGGACUGCAACGGCUUACCUGGUGUCUUGCACUGGACAGUCUUCACGUCAGGAGACCACUUGAGACUGGGCUCACACAAAAUGGAGUGUGCCCCUUCUAAGUGCAUGCUGUGUGGGCAGGACAGAGUUAUUCUCUCACCAAUCUCAUACACAGCUUUCCAUGGCUCUCCUUGCAAACCCCCCUCCAGGUCGGGCAGGAGACAAGCAGUUUCUAAGGAUUGAAGCAUUUGAGAUAGCCAUAGUGAAUCAGUGGAUUGCAUAAAGCAACCACAUAUUUUAUCGUCUUCUAAAUUCCUUAACAAAUUGAAUGGUGAGAUUGCCUGAUUUUUCUGUAGAAACAUAUCAGUCAUGUUAGUGCAGGAUAUUAACUCAUCACACCUGCCAAAUAAGCAAUACUAAGGACAUAGUGGCAGCAUCUUCUGCUGCUGCCUGCAGGUGCAGUCUAGCUUUAUGAGGGCUUCUCUGUCCUUAGGACCCAUGGUUCUGUUGAGAGUUCACAAUAGGGAGUAACGUCCUCUAGAGAGUGGUCAUACAUACAGGAUGCUGGGGAGGCCAUGUAUUGAUACACAAAGAGAUAACCUUUAAACAGUGUGGACUAGCAUAUAUGGACAGUCGGUUCUGCUUGGAAGGAGAAAAGGAUGCUGUUGAAACACAGUGCUGAAAAUUCCCAUGGUUCUUGCAUAUAGCUAGAGGACUUGCAUAUAGCAACAAAGUGUUUCCAGAGGAAGGAAUUCCUGGACUGGAAUUUAGUCUCCGUCACUUCCAGCCUUUCUUAAAACCAGACUUUAUGGGUGUGUUUCUCAUUCAGUAUUACAAUAUCUAGAUUCACAAUAAAAGUCGGUUUUGACCUGA
Long non-coding RNA from Pseudopipra pipra, 4458 nucleotides. RefSeq lists it as uncharacterized. The transcript has 3 exons. The record is from RefSeq and is a predicted model, not a curated record. Lineage: Eukaryota; Metazoa; Chordata; Aves; Passeriformes; Pipridae.